This 253-nucleotide ribosomal RNA is filed under the name uncultured bacterium. Its description in RNAcentral is "partial 16S ribosomal RNA". It matches the Rfam family "Bacterial small subunit ribosomal RNA", at positions 524 to 776 of the family's 1533-position model. The record is from RNAcentral.
UACGUAGGGCGCAAGCGUUGUCCGGAAUUAUUGGGCGUAAAGAGCUCGUAGGCGGCCUGUCGCGUCUGCUGUGAAAUCCCGGGGCUUAACCCCGGGCGUGCAGUGGAUACGGGCUGGCUGGAGGCAGGCAGGGGAGAACGGAAUUCCACGUGUAGCGGUGAAAUGCGUAGAGAUGUGGAGGAACACCAGUGGCGAAGGCGACUCUCUGGUCUGUAACUGACGCUGAGGCGCGAAAGCGUGGGGAGCAAACAGG